GUCUACGACCAUGCUACCCUGAACAAGUCCGAUCCUGUCUGAUCUCAGAAGCUAAGCAGGGUUGGGCCUGGUUAGUACUUGGAUGGGAGACCAUCUAGGAAGACCAGGUGCUGUAGACA
Molecule: ribosomal RNA, 119 nt
Filed under: Pteropus alecto (black flying fox)
Lineage: Eukaryota; Metazoa; Chordata; Mammalia; Chiroptera; Pteropodidae
Source: RNAcentral